Molecule: ribosomal RNA, 497 nt
Filed under: uncultured bacterium
Lineage: Bacteria
Description: partial 16S ribosomal RNA
Rfam family: Bacterial small subunit ribosomal RNA
Source: RNAcentral
GAUGAACGCUGGCGGCGUGCCUAAUACAUGCAAGUCGAGCGAACAGACGAGGAGCUUGCUCCUCUGACGUUAGCGGCGGACGGGUGAGUAACACGUGGAUAACCUACCUAUAAGACUGGGAUAACUUCGGGAAACCGGAGCUAAUACCGGAUAAUAUAUUGAACCGCAUGGUUCCAUAGUGAAAGACGGUUUUGCUGUCCCACAUAGAUGGAUCCGCGCCGCAUUAGCUAGUUGGUAAGGUAACGGCUUACCAAGGGAACGAUGAGUACCCGACCUGAAGGGUUGAUCGCCCACACUGGAACGGAGACACGGUCAGGACUCCUACGGAGGGCGGCAGAGGGGAACCUUCCGCAUUGAGCGAAGGCCUGACGGACCAACGCCGCGGGGGGAAUGAAGGUCUCGGGAUCUUAAGCCUCGGUUAAUAGGAAAGAACAGUUGUGUAAGUAACUAUUCACGUCGUGACGGUACCUAAUCAGAAAGCCACGGCUAACUACGUG